AUCACUCCUCAGCCUUUUGGCUAAGAUCAAGUGCAGUAUUUGUUUUUAUCAGUUUAAAGCACAUAACUGGAAAAUCUCCAACAUCAGAAAUUAGGGGCUAAUGAUACAUAUGCAAAUAGAAAAAUGGAUACAAAUUAAAUGCAAAGCUAAAUGAUUCUUU
Macaca mulatta (Rhesus monkey) is the source of this 160-nucleotide small nuclear RNA. Its record names the gene U2. It matches the Rfam family "U2 spliceosomal RNA". Rfam says of the family: U2 is a small nuclear RNA (snRNA) component of the spliceosome (involved in pre-mRNA splicing). Complementary binding between U2 snRNA (in an area lying towards the 5' end but 3' to hairpin I) and the branchpoint sequence (BPS) of the intron results the bulging out of an unpaired adenosine, on the BPS, which initiates a nucleophilic attack at the intronic 5' splice site, thus starting the first of two transesterification reactions that mediate splicing. NCBI's taxonomy places the organism in Eukaryota, Metazoa, Chordata, Mammalia, Primates, Cercopithecidae. The record is from Ensembl.